CUGGGUGCCGGCUUGUAUGGCUACAUCGACAAAACCAUAGCGGAGCCUCCCAAGACAAUCAUCGCCAAGGAUAAAGAUGGCAAGGAUUAGGAGAUGUCGAACCCUGCCUAUGCCCCCUGGCUAGUCCAGGAUCAGCAAACCAUUGCCUACCUUCUCCGAAACCUCUCCAAGGAGGUCCUCGUCCAGGUGGCUUCGCUGGAGACCUCGCAUGCAAUAUGGAUGGCGCUCUCCAACAAGUUUGCUGCGGUCUCCCUCUCUCGCGUCAACAAUCUUCGUGGUGCCCUCACCAACGCCCAAAAGGGCACACAAUCUGCCUCAACAUACUUUGGCUAUAUGCGU
This 339-nucleotide ribosomal RNA is filed under the name Triticum aestivum (bread wheat). Its description in RNAcentral is "partial small subunit ribosomal RNA". Lineage: Eukaryota; Viridiplantae; Streptophyta; Magnoliopsida; Poales; Poaceae. The record is from RNAcentral.